ACUCAGUGAAAUUGAACUCGCUGUGAAGAUGCAGUGUACCCGCGGCAAGACGGAAAGACCCCGUGAACCUUUACUAUAGCUUGACACUGAACAUUGAGCCUUGAUGUGUAGGAUAGGUGGGAGGCUUUGAAGUGUGGACGCCAGUCUGCAUGGAGCCGACCUUGAAAUACCACCCUUUAAUGUUUGAUGUUCUAACGUUGACCCGUAAUCCGGGUUGCGGACAGUGUCUGGUGGGUAGUUUGACUGGGGCGGUCU
This 255-nucleotide ribosomal RNA is filed under the name Escherichia coli. RNAcentral describes it as "partial 23S ribosomal RNA". It matches the Rfam family "Bacterial large subunit ribosomal RNA", at positions 2031 to 2285 of the family's 2925-position model. Lineage: Bacteria; Pseudomonadati; Pseudomonadota; Gammaproteobacteria; Enterobacterales; Enterobacteriaceae. The record is from RNAcentral.